UGAGAAAUACUUCUAUUUUCCCAUUCUUGC
This 30-nucleotide non-coding RNA is filed under the name Mus musculus (house mouse). The record is from RNAcentral. Lineage: Eukaryota; Metazoa; Chordata; Mammalia; Rodentia; Muridae.